GGCGCCGUCUCGCCCCCGUGUGGUGGGAGGAGGAUAGCCCAGAUUUAAGCUACCUGCCAGGAACUCUACACCUCCUUGGUACUUGGCAUGGCUGUGUUGGAUCCAUGCAAAACCGUGCCUGCUGUAGUUUCUACACCAGUUCUGCCAAAAGGAAAGCGAUUCCAGGGGCUGCUGGAGAACUAUGAUGCCUUGACUUGAAGCUGCACUGAUCAUUCUGAUCGUAGUGUUUUGUACGUGUGUAAGUCUGCACACCGGAAGAAGGCAUCAACGAUGAAUUGCUAUGUGGUUGCUUGGAAUUGAACUCGGGACUUCUGGAAGAGCAGCUGUGCUCUUAACCACUGAGCCAUCUAUCAAGCCCUGACAUUGGUCACUUUCAUAUGCUUAUCUUUCUUAAAGGACUUCAGCUCUGUAUUUUUGUUGGUGGUUUUGGUUUUUUAUAAUAUAAGAUUUCUGUUAUUUGAGAAUUUCAUAUAUGCCUAUAAUGUAUUUCUAUUAUAUUCCAGGAUGACCCCAUAUUCCCUUCACAAUUUCGUGCCCUCUUUUUUUUUUUCAGUAACCCACUGAGUUUAAUUAAUGUGGCCCAUACACACAUGUGGGGUGGGAAACCCAAUGAGUGAUUGACCUACCAGAGAACACCCUCUACCACCACCUCCCCAGUGGGGAGGGGAACCCCCUCCUCCAGCAGCCGUCAAUAGCUCCCAUGCAGAGUCAGUGGUCUUCAUCUGAGCCCCUUCCACUCCAUGCUGGACCAUUGACUGGCUUGGUCUUCUGCAAGUCUUACACAGGCUCCCACAGCUGCUGUAAAUACAAUGGUCCUGUCAUAUUUAGAUGACACUGUUUCUCCCCAGUCUGCCCUGACCUCUGACUCAUACAAUCUCCCCACCUCCUCUUCAGUGAUAUUCUCUGAACCUUAGAGGAAGGCGUAUGAUGUAGAUGUCCCCAUUCGUGUCUGAACAAAUCACAGCCACUUGCUCUUUGCACUCUGAACAGAGCACAGGUGAUAUGGAGGAACAAACAGACAGAUACUUGGGGAAGGGGUGGGAAGAGAAGACAGAGGAAGAUGUGGAGAAAUGGAUAAUUAACAUUGGGAUGCUUGGGGGAGAACAUGGAAACCUCGACAAACUUCUUAAAUAUGUACUUAAAUGGAGCUACCCAACACCGUGGAAAAUGUUCUUUCCAGAAGUCACAAAUAAACUACCCACUGACAGGUAUGGAUAUUCCCCUUGAGUGGUUGGACUUGGGACUCCCAGAGACCCCUCAAACACAGGCUAUUGACAUUGCUUUUGGUUUCUCACCAGAACUUGAUAAGACCCUAUUGCAGAAGAUAUCACACAUUUUGAUGACAAAACUUAGAGAAAUCCACCUGUGCUGACCUAGAAAUCCUUCCCUGCUGGAUAGCUUUCAUAGUUCUGGAGUGCUGGGGGAGAGAAGCCAUCAACAAGGUUGUGGGGCAAGUGGACUAUGCCACCAGGCAGAAGAACUGGUAAGGUUGGAGGAGGUUCAAAACCCCCCAGGAGAUCUCAUAAUUGAGAGCAGCAGGCAUGGAACCAGCUCCCAGCCAGGCUCUACCUGUCCUGCAACACAUGACCAUGUCACCCCACUGAGAGGACAAUGACAAAUGAUCAUAUCAUGUAGCAUAAAAGCCUGGGGUUCUUCAUGCUAGUUAGGUAUCUAGAUAAGGCAGAAUGUUCACUCAAUGAGCUUCCCGUCCUAGCUGUUCCUUCCUGCAAGAGAUAGUUAAUCUCUGGUUCACCCUGAGUAAGGUGUGUGCAUUGACAUCUUCCAUAACAAUAAAGCAGUUUGAACAACCAAGAACUAGUCUCCAUCAAGGAUUGUCUCCUUCAUUAAGGAUCACAGGAGCUUGCGGUUGGGGGCUUCAUUGUAAAGUACAGUGCCUAAAUCUCUCAGAGAAGGCCUUCUCUCUUCCAGCCCCUCUAUACACUCAGCACUCACUCAGAACCAGAUCACUCUCAACUACUCGAGGUCCCCAGUGGCGUCUUGGUUCACAGGAGAUUGAGAACAACAGCAUCUGUCCCAGACCUCCCUGUUUCCCAUCUGGAGAAACACAAAACGUGGGCGGGACACCUAUCAUAGGCUGUGUUCUGCCUCCUCUGAGCAGCUUGUUGGUGAUGCUCUCAGCACCCCAGUGGUGAGGCAGAUUCACAGCCCAACAUAAUCUUGCCCAGGUGUGAGUCUGCAAGGCAUAGUAAUGACCAGCCAUGGGUACAACAGUGGCAUGAAAAUCAUGGGGGCAACCAAUUCUUUCUGAUUGGAUUUAAGGCUCAUUGUACAGAAGCAAAAACAUGCCUCAUACUAUAAGUCUAGCUGGAAAAUUGGCUGAAGAGCUCAUAGGCCCUAAGGAUGAGCCUACCAUUCCAUUGCUAAAUGGACACGUGAUCAAACUGACUUCUAAAUACAUUUCUCUAAACCUACAGAUUAGGGCAUCUGCCACUUCUCAUCUGAGACGUGCCUGUGAGGUGGGCAGUGGUUAAGACAAAGGCUCAAUCUUGUUGCCUUUGUCUUCAUCCUACUCUCCUGCCUCAGUUCCCCACUGAGAGCUUCUGAUGAAGCUGAAGGAUGUUACCCAAGGUGCUCCAGUGGCAGUCUACCAUGGCUUGAGCAGGUGUUUUUCAGGGGACUUCAGGCAGAAUCCAUCUGUAAUGGCCGCCAUCACUGAAGCUGAAGGCCCACUCUCCCUUUGGAAGACAGAGUUUCUUUAUAUACCCUGACUGCCCUGGAACUGGCUCUGUAGACCAGGCUGGCUUUGAACUCAUGGAGAUCUGCUGCCUGGGCCGUUGGACUACUUUCUGCUGACCCUCAGAAUCAAUGACACAGACUCAGGAGCAGGAUGCACAGAGAAGAACUGACACUAUAGACAAGAACUUUCACUGAUGUCCGGGAACCUGAUGGCACUGCAUUUUACUUUCCACAACAACAAAGGUUCAGGGACAACAUUAAGGACAUCCAUAGAACCCUGAGACUUAACAGAGCUAGCCUUUGAAUCCUCAGUCCUGCCAGGGGAUGGUCCUGAAGCACAGAUCAAGACUCAUGAACCCUGGUGGAAACAACAGAUGAAACCACCAAGUGUCCAGGUCCAGACACUACAGGCGAUGGAGUCAGCCUUCACAACACACUGCAUCCUCCCCACUCUGGCCAGAGCCCAAUUCCCAGAGUAAGGAUGGUUCUCUGUGGUAUCACCUGGGUAUAAAGAGGCCAUGGGCUCUAUGAUGACUAUUCUUGGUUGUCAUCUUGGCUACAUCUGGAAUUAACUAAAGCCCAAUGGGCUGGGUGCACCUGUAAGGAUUAUUUUUUCUUGAAGACCCACUUCUAAUCUGGAUCUUUGAGGUGGGAAGAUCCACCUUUAAUCUGAGCCACACCUUCUGCUGAAAAGUCGUAUAAAGGACAUAGAAGAAAGGAGCUUUACUCUCUGCCUGCUUGGUCUUGAUGUCAUUGGCCAGUUCAUGGCAUUAGAGCCCGUGUCUUCAGGAUUCUGGUGUAUACUGAAAACCAGCUGAGACAUACAGCCUUGGAGACUGAACACCUACUGUAUUUUUGGAUCUUCCAUCGGUAGAUAACCAUCGUUGGAGUAGCUGGACCACAGCCCAUAAGUCUCACUAAUACAUGCCCUUUCUAGAGAGAUUCAGUCAGCUCUACUCCUCUAAAGAACCUGCACAACACAGGCAUGAACUGCAGCAACUACCAUGGCUAUCGCAUGCCCGAGCUGGGUCAUCAAGACUGUCCUGAGAGCAAAUGAGAAAAGGGAGUGGAGAUGGGCAACUACUGGCAGUUUAAGAGCAUUUGGGGGAGCAGUAGUGUUGUGGGACCCAGUAGUUAGGCACGCUGUGGAUGUGGACCCAUCUGGAGACUCUUCUUCUCUCCUGACCUUGUGGUAUCAAAAACUGUGAAGAAAGUUGGAUUCAGUAUCCCCA
Mus musculus (house mouse) is the source of this 3929-nucleotide long non-coding RNA. RefSeq annotates it as predicted gene, 36523. Lineage: Eukaryota; Metazoa; Chordata; Mammalia; Rodentia; Muridae. The record is from RefSeq and is a predicted model, not a curated record. The transcript has 6 exons.